RNAcentral lists this non-coding RNA (27 nucleotides) under Homo sapiens (human). The record is from RNAcentral. Lineage: Eukaryota; Metazoa; Chordata; Mammalia; Primates; Hominidae.
UUAACAAUCCCAGGUGAUGUGUGUGCA